AUGGCUCCAGUCACCAGCCAGCCCAUCACUCAUUUUGUAGUUUACAUGGUGGGGCACCUGAAUGCACCUAUAAACUGUGGGCUGAAUCCAGCAGACGUGGAAGAGACGAAAGGACAAAGCAUGGAACACAGACAGCCAUGACUUCUGACAGAUGUUAGUAAUACAGGACGCCAUGAGGCAGACAUAGAUAUGAUUGUCCUUUUGGAAGCACAAAAUGAAAGAAAGAUGAAGGGCCAUCUCUUUCUUUUUUUUCAAAACCUCAGACCCAAUUUCUGUUUAUAGAAAAACUUGUACGUGCCUUUUGGAUAAAUGUAGUUUAUAGGAAAAGAUUCUUGUGUACGUGGAAACCAUUAUGAAGAAAGUCACUGAUUUAAGAACAACAUAUGCGUGUUUACCUACCAACAUUUCAAUAGUAAAUUCCAUUUUAGCCCAAGAUGUUGAUGGGGAAAGGCAGUGUCUUAAAAGCUAAGGGUAGCUUGAAAGAGAAAAAUGGAAUCUCGUGAUCCGACCAAGCAGGGUCCUCCAGCACUGCACAGAUAGACGCACAUCGGGGCCGAUCCCACUGGAACAAAGCUCUGCCCACAACCCAGCUCAGUGACUGGCCUGGCAUCAAUCCCAACACCAAAUUAUUCUCAACCAAGAAGACUAGAGAUCUCCAGUAGGAACUCCAAUAUGUGAGAGCUUUUUGAACCAAAGUCUUAAGUGUGUUAGCCAGUAUUUUUCUCCAUCCUUGUAGAGUUCCUUUCUUGAGAACCUUGCUCUGUUCAUGCCAGAGCAGACCUGGCGGGGAGCUUGCACCUGCCACAGCAUUUACUUGUAUCUUCUGCACGCCUGAGGCAGCCUCGACAUGGACCAGAAGGCUUGGAGGCUUUCCCGUCUUUCAUUUGCCCUGGAUCUCAGGAGACAGUACACUGAGGGGUGUCUGAGGGAGAGAUAGAGGAGAGAAAGACAGUAAAAGAGAGGAAGAGAAGAAAGAUUUUGUUACUGGUGCCUAAAUAGCUUUUGGGGAAAAAAUAGUUGCUAUAUAAGACAUAAUAAGGUAUAGCACUGUUUUGAGAAGUUUUCUGUAUUAACGUAAUAAAUCUUUGGUUGGAAUGCUCACUCUAGGGGUUGCCAGGUAACCUUUUUAUGUGUUCGUAUAAUUU
This 1145-nucleotide long non-coding RNA is filed under the name Macaca fascicularis (crab-eating macaque). RNAcentral's name for it is "lncRNA (ENSMFAG00000061679.1)". The record is from RNAcentral. Lineage: Eukaryota; Metazoa; Chordata; Mammalia; Primates; Cercopithecidae.